Molecule: ribosomal RNA, 423 nt
Filed under: Microsporidia sp. clade II
Lineage: Eukaryota; Fungi; Microsporidia
Description: SSU rRNA
Rfam family: Eukaryotic small subunit ribosomal RNA
Source: RNAcentral
CCUUAACCUGCUAAAUAGUGUUGCUAACGAUUGUUGGUAUUUCACUUCUUAGAGGGACUGACUACGAUUAGUGGUCGGAAGUUUGAGGCAAUAACAGGUCUGUGAUGCCCUUAGAUGUUCUGGGCUGCACGCGCGCUACACUGACAAAGUCAACAAGUAUACAACCUUGACCGGAAGGUCUGGGCAAUCUUUUGAAACUUUGUCGUGCUGGGGAUAGACCAUUGCAAUUAUUGGUCUUCAACGAGGAAUUCCUAGUAAGCGCAAGUCAUCAGCUUGCGUUGAUUACGUCCCUGCCCUUUGUACACACCGCCCGUCGCUACUACCGAUUGAAUGGCUUAGUGAGGCCUUCGGAUUGAGCCAUUGCAGUAAUGUGGUGGUUUGAAAAGUUGGUCAAACUUGGUCAUUUAGAGGAAGUAAAAGUCG